This 460-nucleotide ribosomal RNA is filed under the name uncultured bacterium. RNAcentral's name for it is "partial 16S ribosomal RNA". It matches the Rfam family "Bacterial small subunit ribosomal RNA", at positions 338 to 795 of the family's 1533-position model. The record is from RNAcentral.
CCUACGGGUGGCAGCAGUGAGGAAUAUUGGUCAAUGGGCGCGAGCCUGAACCAGCCAAGUAGCGUGAAGGAUGACUGCCCUAUGGGUUGUAAACUUCUUUUAUAUGGGAAUAAAAUGUUCCACGUGUGGGAUUUUGUAUGUACCAUAUGAAUAAGGAUCGGCUAACGCCGUGCCAGCAGCCGCGGUAAUACGGAGGGUCCGAGCGUUAUCCGGAUUUAUUGGGUUUAAAGGGAGCGUAGGUGGAUUGUUAAGUCAGUUGUGAAAGUUUGCGGCUCAACCGUAAAAUUGCAGUUGAAACUGGCAAUCUUGAGUACAGGAGAGGUGGGCGGAAUUCGUGGUGUAGCGGUGAAAUGCUUAGAUAUCACGAAGAACUCCGAUUGCGAAGGCAGCUCACUGGACUGAAACUGACACUGAGGCUCGAAAGUGUGGGUAUCAAACAGGAUUAGAUACCCCAGUAGUC